UACGUAGGUGGCAAGCGUUGUCCGGAUUUAUUGGGUUUAAAGGGUGCGUAGGCGGCCUUAUAAGUCAGUGCUGAAAUAUCCCGGCUUAACCGGGAGGGUGGCAUUGAUACUGUAGGGCUUGAGUGUAGUCGAGGUAGGCGGAAUUGACGGUGUAGCGGUGAAAUGCUUAGAUAUCGUCAAGAACACCGAUAGUGUAGACAGCUUACUAGGCUACAACUGACGCUGAGGCACGAAAGUGUGGGGAUCAAACCGG
Molecule: ribosomal RNA, 253 nt
Filed under: uncultured bacterium
Lineage: Bacteria
Description: partial 16S ribosomal RNA
Rfam family: Bacterial small subunit ribosomal RNA
Source: RNAcentral